GAGGGUGCAGCCGUGAGAAGGCGAGAUUUCGAUAUUUUAGUGACUUUUGACAUGCUACUUUUCACAUAAUCGAAGCUUAUUAAAUAAAGAAAUGUACAAUUAUGUAAACAUAAAGUCUUAUAGAAGUGUACUGCAAAGGAAAAUUUUGGUAUUUAAUAGUACAUCUUUGUUUAAUUUGUCAUUUCUUAAAAGCAAAAUUUCAAAAGCGCUCGUCAGAGCUCACUUUGAGAUAUGAAAUUACCAUUAAGCUAUGUAAAUACAUUUUUUUAAAUAUUUUCGUAGGAUAGAAUAUAUAGUCUAUUGGUGAACCACAGCGGAAAAUAUUAAAAAUUAUAUAUUUUAAUAAUUACGCACCCAUUUUUAUAAAUGACUUAUUAUACGAUUUUGGAAACAGCUUUUUAUGAGAAAAGCCCGAUUUUAUUCGUUAAAACUAUUUUGUAUCGAUUAACUGAGGAUGAAUAAAUAAUAUAAGUAAAUUUACAUAAUUAUUAUACGACGAUAGUUAUUACAAACUAUUAUUGAAAAUGGCCUAUAUAAUUACGCGCACGGGCGAAUGUGAUUUAGUACGCGCCGGGUCAUCCCAGAGGGUGGACGUAUCGCUCAUUUCCCGCGCGUCUAAAAGUUGAUUGACCUUACGUACGACCGAGGUUCAAAAGGAGUAUAGUGCGUCAUUGGAUUUGAUACUUUAGCAUGGGUAACAAACGCAAAAAAUAUAGUUGCAGUAGAAAUGCGAAGUCUGCAGCGAACGCCAGGCAAUCAAAAAGGAGAAAGAUUAACGAGGAAAAAAACCAACGUACUCAUGAAUCUCCUGACAAUAACGACUCCUGUGUUGAUUCAAAAAAUAAUAAUCGUGACAAUAAAUUAUUUGAUGCACUCAUAUCGGAUCUGGAAAAAAUAGAUGAGAAAAAACAAAAUAUACAUUUAGAAGAAACGGCAAAUAUUGAAGAGUUUGAAUUGGUAUAUAACGUUGGUCACUAUAUCACGUAGUCACGCUAUCUGCCAUGCGUAAUUCAAUUAUUAAUCUUGAUUACUGAUUUCAGGAAGUGGAGCCACAAAAACAUAUCAUUCCUCCAUAUCAAAUUAUAGGAAGAAGGAUUGUUGAUUUCAUGUAUUUCUUUGAUCAAAUCAAAAUCGUAGCUAACCAUAAUCCUGGACUCGGUUGUUCAAUAAGUAAUGUUGAAAUUGUCAAAGAAAUACUUAAUGGCUUAGAAUCGACAAUCCACUUCAAAUGUACAAUGUGUAACAAGAAAUUUAAUGUCACACUAUGCAAUAAUAAUUUUCCAAAAGAGAUGACCACAAACCAUGCUGCAGUGACUGUUUGUAAAUAAUAAAAUCUAAAAAUGUAA
This is a long non-coding RNA of Pieris napi, 1346 nucleotides long. RefSeq lists it as uncharacterized. The record is from RefSeq and is a predicted model, not a curated record. Lineage: Eukaryota; Metazoa; Arthropoda; Insecta; Lepidoptera; Pieridae. The transcript has 4 exons.